AAGGAACUCGCAUCACAUCGAUGCUCGCGCUCGCCCUGGUCUCGG
RNAcentral lists this unclassified non-coding RNA (45 nucleotides) under Sorangium cellulosum So ce56. RNAcentral describes it as "sce_s2m_77". The record is from RNAcentral. Lineage: Bacteria; Pseudomonadati; Myxococcota; Polyangiales; Polyangiaceae.